Molecule: ribosomal RNA, 263 nt
Filed under: uncultured archaeon
Lineage: Archaea
Description: partial 16S ribosomal RNA
Rfam family: Archaeal small subunit ribosomal RNA
Source: RNAcentral
AGACGUCUACAUUAGAUACCCGGUAGUCCCAGCCGUAAACUAUGCGCGUUAGGUGUAUCGGUGACCACGAGUCACCGAGGUGCCGAAGGGAAACCGUGAAACGUGCCGCCUGGGAAGUACGGUCGCAAGGCUGAAACUUAAAGGAAUUGGCGGGGAGCACCACAACGGGUGGAGCCUGCGGUUUAAUUGGACUCAACGCCGGGAAGCUCACCGGAUAAGACAGCGGAAUGAUUGCCGGGCUGAAGACUCUGCAUGACUAGCUG